GAUAUGCAGUUUUUGAGUUGCUCUAAUUCCUUCUCAAGCACCACAAAGCUUGGCCUCAAGGGCUAAGUUUGUUGUGGUCACACUUUUAAAGAUUGUUUAUGUUAGAAAAUAAACCUCAAAAUUCAAUUCAUAUUGAGCCCACGGCGAGGUUCAAGAUAAAAAAUGGAGUCCAACGAGCUCAAAAACAGUCCAAACGGAGUACAGAUGGAGG
RNAcentral lists this long non-coding RNA (211 nucleotides) under Elaeis guineensis (African oil palm). RNAcentral describes it as "long non-coding RNA (EGUI_LNC021121)". The record is from RNAcentral. Lineage: Eukaryota; Viridiplantae; Streptophyta; Magnoliopsida; Arecales; Arecaceae.